Molecule: small RNA, 10538 nt
Filed under: Rattus norvegicus (Norway rat)
Lineage: Eukaryota; Metazoa; Chordata; Mammalia; Rodentia; Muridae
Description: uncharacterized LOC102547244
Source: RNAcentral
AUUUGCUUAAUGCUCUAACCGUGGCAAGCUUGGCUGGAAGGCAGGCUACACAUAGCAGGGAAGAGGGUAGACUCCAUGAGGAGAUGGGGCAGGAUCCAGGGUGUGGUAGCCGACUUAGAGCACACUUCCCUUGAAAAUAUGGGACAAAUAUUUAAUAACGAACAUUGGUCGGAGCCACAAGUGAGUAAAGAGCUAGAUGUUUCCAGGCGGUCGCGGGUCUCAGCGUUUGGGUAAUGGCAGCCCUCUGCUUCCAGAGCGUCUGUCCAAUUCGCAGCACAACUUCACAGGGCAGAGGGAUCAAAGUCCGAGAGUUGACAAGCCAGUAAAACUUAAGAAAGGCACCCGCGUCUCAGCCAACUGGGCUGGGAUCCACCACUAGGAUUUAGUUCUUGCAAGAGAGUCAGACUCCAACUCCGGGACAGAAGCAGAGAUGCUCUCUAUAAAGCCGUGGAGGGGAAAAACAGGCUCAGCCCUUGGAAACAUGAGCCUGGCUUCAACUCGACUCUUGGUCGCCGCCGUAUACCUGACUUGGUGAAGAAGAAAGGAAAGCAAACAUCUCCCAGCAGAAUGAUCGAGCGCAAAGCGUUCAAAACUUGCAAUUCUGACAGACAGUCCUCGAGGGAAGGUGGGGUUCAUGGUUUUUGAGGGGUUUUUGCCCAUCGUGAUAUGGGAAGGACAGAAGAGAAGUUCAGGUCAGGGUGGUCAAAGCUGCUGAUACUGCCACAGACCAGUGUGCAGAGUGGUCAGGACCCUGAGCUGGGGGAAUGGUCAAAGGCACACUCCUAGAGACCAACUUGUGCUCGCUGAUCCCUGCCUCUUGAAAGUUCCACAGCCUCUCAGAAUAGUGCCCCCUGCUGGGAAGGAAGAAUUCAAGACGUGAACCUGGCGGGUGGGGCUUGGGGGGUGGAUUUCAGAUUGAAACUAGAACAGAAGGCCCAGAAAAGGGAGGUCGGUGAGAGUCUGUAUUCUUAAUUCAGGACGGCUUACAAAUAUGACUAGUUAAUUUAUAAGAUGUAAACUAAUACUUAAAAAAAAAAGAAUUUAGCAAACCAGACAGGGAAUUUCAGGACGGCAGUGACCUUUGUGCUUGCUGAGGCAUCGUAGGCGACAGUCUGCUGGAGUCCGGGAAGCCAUCUGCAGCUAGAGGGACCCUGCAGCUAGGGGGACAAUGAGCUGUCUGUCUCCUCCUCUACCUCCAGCUCUCCCUUGAGGGUUUGCGUUGGCAGAAUCUAAGCAGGAAUUUCUGGGAAAUUUAGUUUCCAGAUGUUACAGCCCCUGUGAGUCAGGACACAGAAGGGGAAAGAGCUACCAUGGCCACGGGGCCCAAGUGAAAGACAUCAAUUAUUUUAGGGUGAUGUCAGAGAAAGUGGGUCGCAGUGGAAAUGGAGCUCGGCGAGGCCGAGUCUGGGUGGAAGGACUGUGGGGAAGCAACACCCCUGCAGACAGGAACUGUGAGACACGCUAGGCAGAGUGACAAGGAGGUUGAAAUGCCACAACCUUCGAGAGUGACAGAUGCUCUUUGUUUUAAAGAGCUCAGUAGCGUGUAUAUAGAAAAUAAAGGCACCGUGGAUGGGACAAGGGGACUGUAAGAACCUGUCCCCCACUCUUGCUGAUAGUUUGAAAGCAUUCUGUGAAAUAAAUAUUCUUCUUCCAGACUAGGCAAAAAUGAAAACGGUUAGCAUUUGGACCUCGGUGUUGGAACUGGAGGUUAGAAGGUAGAAAUGUGGGAGGGAGUUAGACCAGAAGUUGACGGAACUUGGCAAGGUGAGUAGCAGGAGGAAGGCAGGAGCAACCAGGACUCCACAGUCUGUGGGGUGCGUAGCAUUGUGAACGGGCACCAUGAAUUGAGACAUGGCCAUAAAAAAAGUCGGAGCAGUUCCCUUUGGGAUGUGUUCUGUGUUAGGAUGUGAAACUACAGACAUCAAUAAUCAAGACAGAGGUGGUGGUGUGUCGUGUCCCCCCCACCCGCUUCCUGCUGAACAUACAUGACACCUUUGCAUACAAAGGGAAGUAUAACUCUCUACGUGUGAGUUUGGCCACAGUCACAGAAAAGAACUGAUUGAUAUCUAUCAAAGAUAUUUCCCCAUCUUAUUCCCCGAUGGAGCUUGAUGCUUGAAAUCCAACACGUGGUACUUCAAACUCCUGGCUUUAAGUUAAGGCACCUUAAAGGUUUGUGCUGCCCAUCUACCUGUGGUGUGGCGUGCUGAGACUUGCUUUGUCACACGUACCCUGAAAACAAUCAGUGCAUAUACACACACUAGUGCUGCUAUAUGGCCAGAGCUCGCAGCAUGGCCUAUUACAUGAUUUUUCCAGAAAGAUGAUAACAGGCAUCACACCAGACAGGGCAUCAGUGUCAGGUCACAGAAAUUACUCUACUAAAUUCCAGCUUGAGGAACCAAGGAAUCUUUUGGGGUUAUAUACAGCAACGUAGCAAGGGGCUCCUUGAAAGAACCUGAGUGGCUUAAAAGCAGCUGUACCCCCCAAAAUGACCCACCAGAGCUUCGUCCCCGGGACUCCCCACCUAUCUCAAAGGUAACCCCUUAGAGAGUCUCGUCUUGAGCAACAAUUAAUUAUUGCUUAUAUAACCCAGAGUGGGGCCUGUCCUGUUAACUUCUGCUGUCAACCUGACAGCCCAGAGUCAUCUCAGAGAGGCUCCAUUGGGGAAUCAGAUCGAUCAAAUUGUCCUGUGGCCAUGUCUAUGAGGAAGUCUUUUAGUUGUGGAUUAUUGUCAGAGGGCACAGUCCCCUGUGGGUGGUGCCAUUCCUUAGCAGAUGGUUCUGGGCUAUCUAACAAAGCUGGCUGAGCAUGAGGGAGAGAGAGAGAGUAAACCAGCAUGCAGUGUUCCUCCAUGCAACUCUGCUCCAGAUUCCUGCCUCUCGAGAGGUCCUGCACCGGCUUCCCUCCGAGAUGAACUUCUACCUGGGAGUGUCUAUUGGAACAAACACUUCCCUCCCCAAGUUGUUUUUGGUCAUGGUGUUUAACAGAAUGACAUAAAGGAAGCUAGAGGAAGGCAUAUUCCUACUAAGUCUUGUAAGCUUCCUGGGCCUGCUAAAUUUUAUGGGUUUGUGAGUUUUGCUAGCUCCUUGUGUCUUAUGAGCUCCUGUCCUCUCUUAACUCUCCAGGAGGACAUGUUUCAGUUCGGGGGCAAUAGCUACACAGUAGUGCCCAUGAUGAGCCAGAGCUAGAAGAAUCACUGGCCCCUACAUAAAGCCCUGAUUGUCAGAGAGACAGGAGGUCUUCAUGAGUCUGGGGAAACUUGCUGUGACUUACUUUGUCCUCUGUCUUCAUAGGCUCCCUGCCUGCUCUAUCUAUUUUUUCUUCUAUUUCUUUAACAACUUGAUUGUUGAAACCCCAGGAAAUUCUAAGCCCAUUUCUCCCAUCAAAAUGAAAGGAACUUAUUGAUGAAAUCAUGAGUCCAUUAAGAUUGAGUGGUACAUCUCCAUUAGGGCCACGAUUUGCAUCAUAAAACAGAUUAACAUGAAAGGUGGAAGCACUCUUCUUGGAGAGGAAAUGCACAAAAGAAUCUUUUAGGGCCUUCCGAAUUAAAGCAGAAUAAACACUCCACCAGGCACAGAGAGAAGGCAAGGGACAGGGGGGAAGGUUUCGACAGAGCCAAGCAAGACUGAAGACCUGCAGCCACAUAAGUGGUGUGACUCAUAGCUUAGUUGUGGGUAGACAGCAGAAGCCAGGGAACAUUCGGAGCUGAAAGAAACACUCGUAUUAAACAUUCUGCUGGAGCAAGGGUUCCCACUGCAGUGUGCUUACAGAGCCCUGCUCUGAAGUAUGCCUGGGCCGGCCGUUCUCGCUACUUUAAUGGAGUUGCUGAGAACCACCCUCUUGCCCGGCUAAGAGCCUGUGGUUCUGAGUGGAUGAGAGUGCUGUUCUCCUCAACCUUCCUCAGAAUGUUGAGAGGACAGUUCUGUGACAAGAGCUUUGCCAUGUGGCCUCCCCAGGAAUCUAGAUUGUUCCGGAUGAUCAAAGGAUAAUGAAAUAAACCCUACAUUAAUAGAGCACAGGGUUCUGGGAGUGUGUUGGGGGGCGGGGAUGACGUCUUCUCUUGCCUAUCAAGCUGGUGCUGUUUGUGUGUGUAUCACUUGCUUAGCAGCAUCAAGACCUUUAGCUAAAAGGAGAGGCUGGCUUAAAGGAUUGGAGCACCCGGGGGAUUCGCUGUUUGAUGGAAACAGGUCAGAGAAAGGAGCAAGAGAAUGAUCGGCCGUCUUACUCUUCUGGUGGGGUCUCUUUGCUCAUGUGUGAGAGGCAGUUCAUGCCAGCUCACAGACAUCAAGCAGAAUUUCUUCCUAAUUCCCCCACUCAGUGACUUCAUAGGAGGUUGGCACUGGCUAGGAUAGGAAUGUUUACAUUGCCAGAAUUGGCAGAUGUCACAAACCAGGGUGUUUUUUUCUCCCCUACUGUGGUUGCCUUGUUUUCUCCCCUAGAAAAUUUAUCGUUAAAUAUUUAUCAGCAUUCUCCUGGAAUUUGAUUGAAAGAUAAUUUGGCCAUCAAAGCAGCCACACGGCCUUCUGAAACUCUGGCUGAAAGCUUUCUGAGCACAGCAAGGGUCAAACAAGUGACCGGGCGGAGCUCGGCGGAAUUUGGAAAAAGGGAAAGGAUUCUUGGAAUACACGCCUGUGUGACAUACUCACCCAUGAACACUCACCUGAGGGUCAGUGCUCACAGGGUGACAUGGUAGGCACCUCUCGAAAGUUGUAAAGGGACCUUUAGGAAUGUGGCCACGAGAUGGACACUACUUAGACAUGAUGUGGGCCUCUUUCUCAUUGGACCAGGGACUUCAGAUAAAGGAUAAGACCCAGGAGGCUGGGCCUCAGAAGGACCAAUUUACAGGGCAUUUUGAUAGUGAACCAAUUAACCUCUUCUACCUAUAGGGCUCAGACAAAAGAUAGUUGGGCUCAGGAUGCAUUCUGGGAGCACUGCCGCGUGUGGGUGGUAAUGAUGUGUCAGAAGUUCUUUUUCAGAUGGGCUAAGUAGACUCCAGUCCUAUAUGGAAUGUCCGAGGCUGUGUCAGAGAAACACAAAGGUCUCUUCUGCCUCCCUUCCUGGGUUCUAGGAUUCUUCUGAAAAGAACCCUAAUGCUAACUAGAAGGUAGAAGAGUGGAAGCCCAGACACAGAUUAAGGAGUACACAUAGGUUCGGCCACAAUGGAGAUCAGGGAGGGAGGAUCUUCAACAAACUAAGAAAGAACCAGUGUAUGGCCCACUACAGCGUGUCCAGGUUAUUUACCUGAGGGACCGUAAGCCAACCUAUCACCCUGUGAACACUGCUGUGAGUUCACAAUUAUGGCUGAGUUAUGUACGGAAGCAAGAGAAGCGUCCGUCAACAAAUGACAGGGUUAAAUGGAGUGUGUGUGUAUAACGAAACUUUAGUCAGCUCUAAGGAAGAGCAGAAUCAUGCUGUUUGUUGAAGAACGGGUGUGACAGAAACUAACUAUAUGAAAUAAGUCAGCAAGAUAAGUGUCACACAUUUUUAGUCCUUUUGCACAUCCUUGGGUACACACACACACACAACACACCCUCACACACACUAAGGAAAAAAAAACUGGCUUCGAAGGACAAAAGGAGGCUACGAAAGGAAACAUAUUUGUUCGACUUUGAGGAAGAAGCCGAUUUGUCUGAAGGAGUCUGGGGACAGCCCUGCCUUUGUCUGAUAAGCCCUCUCUGCAAGUCCCUGUAAGCCAUAUGUGUUUAAGAUGUAGAGGAUCAGCUCAGGGGAUCAGCGCACAGCCCUGGAAGCGUUAGCAUGCGCUUCCUACUUUAAGCAGCUGUCUGGCAAAAUGGUCUGUCACUGUCAUAGGGCAGCCGAGCAUGAGAGUGCUUUGACAGUGCGAGUCUGUCUCAAUCCUUCCACCCAAACUCAAAGGAACGUCUUCCCAAAGGCCGAGGGCAGCCAUUCUUUGCAGCGGGAGUAAGCUCGGCUGAUGGCUUAAUCUGGAAGCCAAUUGGCUUUCAAGGAGACAUAACUCACUCCAUAUUUAGAGAAACGUUUGGAGUCUAUUGGGACUGCUUCGGGAGGGGAUUUGAAAACUUUGAAAAGGAACCUGAUAUGAACACUGACCGACUGGAAGACCUUCUGUCUUUCACAAGUGGGCACGUACCUGGCAGCCCUUGCUGGCUUGGCUUCAACUCCUAGAUCCCGGAUCAUGGAAGCCCUGGAGGGUCUGGCAGUUGGUUCCGGAGUCAACAAGAAGCAGGCAGCCACCACCAACCUAGAAGUAUUAUCAUGGUUUAACAGCAAUCCAAGCAAUGUCUCUGCUCCUGAAAUGGAACCUGGGCCUUGUUGGACGACGUGGGACAAAGGAGAGAGGCAGGUCCACUGUGGGGUCUGUCUGUGUUUAUAUGGUUGGCAGAGCGCGCUUUGAUGUCACCCUGAUGACGUCUGUCAUCUUCCCCACACCUGCUAUGGCAUGGCUGCCUUCAGUCACAAGCCUGAUUCACAGCACACUCUAUGUUUAGCAGCGCUCUGAGAAGGAUUCCAGUCUGCCUUCAGCCCUAAAUAGCUACAAAUAUCAGAGUAGCAGCGGCAGCCCUUCAAAGGCCUUUUUGGGAAGUGUCAUGCCAGAGAUGGGGUGACACAGAGGAGCCCCAGAAAGAAGCAAGAUGUCACCUGGAAACUGGAGGGAAAAAGAAGAAAUGAACCAGCGUCGACUGCUAAGAAGGUGAAGAAAUGAACCAGCGUCGACUGCUAAGAAGGUGAAGAAAUGAACCAGCGUCGACUGCUAAGAAGCUUUAGAGUGGGGCCAGGCUGCUAACUGCGCCAACGCUGCAUUUGGAGGGCUGUGACUUGCAGCCUGACCUCCUGGAACUGAGUGGAGCAGCAAUCAACAAUGACUUUGUAAGCUGAUCCCUGCUACAGACCGUACAAAAUCCUCAACGGGGAGAGCUGCUUACCUACAGAGGUCACAGGAGCUCUGUGCUCACCACCCCUAAUGCCCGUGUUCCUUGAAGUUGGCUGUUCCUGAGUUGUAUCUUUUGAAGUGAACUGACAUUGAUUCCUUUGGAAACUUGGAUGGCAUCGUUUAAUCUGUGGAGUGGGAAAAAGGAGACGAAGGAAGGAAGAGGAGAGGAGACCAUAAACCUCGCUGAGAGCUCACUGGAUCCGGGAAGUUGCUAAUAAAAACCCAGGCGGGGAUGGCACCUGCAGACAACUCACUCUACCUAGCCGUCAGAGCUGGCCUGGAAGAACAAAGGCUUUCUGGGGAGCUGCAAAUCACACAUUGAUCUUGCCCGAGAGUAUCUUUCCUUAGCGAUGAGAAGCUGGAAUAAAACGAAGUGGAAUGAAAAGCGGCAAGCAGAGGCCCUGAAGACUCCCACAGAAAUCCUGGUUCUGCAGAUUUACCUGUGCCGUGGGACCCACCUGUGUGGGACGAGGCACUUCUUGUUGAGCGUUCUGCUGCUCCAGAGUGCUUCAGCAUUACGUGUGGAAAGCAGAGACUUGAGGAAAAAUCAGUCAAACGAGAGCAUUGCAUAACUCGGACCACUGGAAAAUCCAUUCCCCCUUUAGGCAUCCCAAUGAGGGCAGUAACAACUAAGCAUGUUCCGGCUGUCGUGCUUACUCUAAUGCUGGCACUGGGGAGGAGAGGAGGCAAGUGCAUCCUAGGAGUUUGCUAGCAAGUGAGCCAGCUUCACCCCCUCACGCCACUCCCGGUUGCUAGAAUAGGAGGGCCUCUCCCAGAAUACUCCACACAACAGAUGGUUGAUCUACACCAGGAAACACCCAAAGAAGAAGACCAAGGCCACCACAGGCGGCAACUUGCCUACUCACCAGGGUCCAAGGAAGACCUCCAUCCCAUGGUGGGUAGAGUCCACAUGUGGGUCUCUGGGCUCUCUUCUCUGGUCUUCCUGUCCUCGUUGCUUUACUAAGGGAGACCUGUGAGCAACAGUGUUUUAACGCACGUUAUAGACGACACCGGAGUGUGGCUCUCACCAAAGCGUGUGCCUGACGUGAAGUGUGCCAGACUCCACGAGAAGUGUGUCUGGGCCAACUGACAGCAGUGGCUCUGGCUUUGACACGGCUCUCAGCACUCCCAUUCUGUUCCGAGAGGCCAGGAAGCAGAUGGAGAGAGAAUAAGCAAUGCAGUGGGAUGUCUACAUCUUGGCAGUCAGUUCACGGCGAGCUAUGUUUCUCAAGCUAUUAAGAUACAUGAUGCUACCUGUACAUUUAAUCUCUAAUCAAGUAUGUAAUUUUUUUAUUGCCUAGGGUAUGUCUAUGCAGUUGAAAGCAAAAACCUGUGUUCUAUCUUUAAAGAAAAAAUAAAACAACAACAAUAACAACCACAACACCCCUGUAAAAUCAAGAGAGAGGGAGCAAGAAGUUGGGUGGGUGGUGAGGUGGGGGAGAAUCGGGGAACAAUGGAGGAGGAAAACAAUAUAAUCAAAACAUACUGUAUGGAAAUUAAAUGUCCACCCUGCUCCUUGUGAAGUUUGCUUCCUUCACAGUGAUGUGAAGGGAACAGUGAUAUGCUUCCCCAAGGGGCACGAAGGAGAGGUGCUCUGAGAAAGUGACAUAAACAGGGAAGAUUUUUCUUCUUUGUAGAGAAGGGCGUUAGAGUACAGCAUUGUGAGAUUGCUCAGUGUGUGCACAGAGUACAGCAUUGUGAGGUUACUCAGUGUGUGCACAGAGUACUGCAUCAUCAGAUUACUCAGUGUGUGCACAGAGUACUGCAUUGUGAGAUUACUCAGUGUGUGCACAGAGUACUGCAUUGUGAGAUUACUCAGUGUGUGCACAGAGUACAGCAUUGUGAGAUUACUCAGUGUGUGCACAGAGUACAGCAUUGUGAGAUUACUCAGUGUGAGCACAGAGUACUGCAUUGUGAGAUUACUCAGUGUGAGCACAGAGUACUGCAUCAUCAGAUUACUCAGUGUGAGCACAGAGUACUGCAUCAUCAGAUUACUCAGUGUGUGCACAGAGUACUGCAUUGUGAGAUUACUCAGUGUGUGCACAGAGUACUGCAUUGUGAGAUUACUCAGUGUGUGCACAGAGUACUGCAUCAUCAGAUUACUCAGUGUGUGCACAGAGUACUGCAUCAUCAGAUUACUCAGUGUGAGCACAGAGUACUGCACUGUGAGAUUACUCAGUGUGUGCACAGAGUACUGCAUUGUGAGAUUACUCAGUGUGAGCACAGAGUACUGCAUUGUGAGAUUACUCAGUGUGUGCACAGAGUACAGCAUUGUGAGAUUGCUCAGUGUGUGCACAGAGUACUGCACUGUCAGAUUGUUCAGUGUGUGUCAAACCAGCUUUAGCAGCACUGAGAGAGAACUGACUUCAUUAACACUGGAGAUCUUGGAGACAGAUCAAGUACUCCUAUGCAGGGCAACACAAGGCACUGCAUUGAAGGAAGUCUUCCAAGAGCAGAGAAAUUCUCUCCUGGACACUACUUCCACAGAAUUUUCAGAUAGUUCCAUUUAACUUCCAAGUUCGUUGAUCAACUGUCAUGGGGAGAAGGGAUAGACGUCACGGAGCAUUGUGUCAUUAACAUUCGUUGCUGAAGAAGACUGGGAAGCAAUUCUAAAUUUGCAGCAGCCACGAGGUCCAUGGGCAGAGGUGGACAGAAGUGAGGACUGUCCAAAUGGUGGACUGCUUUGAGCAAGUGAAUGAGUCGUUGCAACUCCACAACUGGGUACGAUAAAAACGCUUCCAUAAACAAUGUAAAAUCAACUGGGUAAGGCGUAAUCCCAUUUAUUUACAGUUCAAAAAUAAACAAAGCGAGUCGCUGACAUCUGAAGUGAGAAGAGAUACCCGCCAUGGGCGAGCUUAGUGAAGAUUCAGCUUCAGGCGUUAGGGAUGGUUUCGUCCCUGAUGGGUUGUUGGUUACGAGCACAUGUUUGUUCUCCACGAGCAUACAUUUUAUUUCUGAGUCGUGUAUAUUUUUUUCUUCAUCCUGAAUCAGCAAAACAGUUACAAGCAAGCAAUGUCAACAUAGUUUCUUUUGCAUGUAUUAAAGUUUGGACCGUUCAGUCAAUCGUUUAAAGGACUAGGUAUGUGGGAGGAAGUGGCCCACAAAGGCUGAAGAGUUAAGUAUUUAAAGACUCAGAAUUACUUGAGAUAGUGAAAAAACGUUAGAGAGAAAAAUUUGAGCUUGGCUUCGUAGUCUAAAUUUCUUUGUCAGUAAAAACCUUCAUUUGUGGUAAAAUUUGGGCAGGGGAGUAAUGGUAUUUGAUAAGGGGUGGGGAAGAAUGUGAACUCAAAAUUAUAACCCAUUUUCUUUCUUUUUAACAUUUUCAGGUCAACACCAAACGUUUAGGUUCUGUGUGAUCAAAAUAGAAGGUCUUCACGUAUAUGGACCUGUCCUCCGCUAAGAUGUAAUUAUCAGUUGAUCAGGUUGAAAGACGGCUGAGUAGAUCCGGCACUAACAACAGAAUCAUCACACCAUGGAGAAACAAAUGUUCUAACAAUGUUCAUAACUCUACACGAUCCUUUCCUUUUUCACCACAAUCUAUGCUUCCCCAUCUGGCAGACAAGUAUGGAUCCCUUUCAACAUGGUAGGUAACAUUCCAGAUUGGAUAAUAAAAGUCUCUGUGGGAGAA